UUAAGCGACUAAGCGUACACGGUGGAUGCCCUGGCAGUCAGAGGCGAUGAAGGACGUGCUAAUCUGCGAAAAGCGUCGGUAAGGUGAUAUGAACCGUUACAGCCGGCGAUGUCCGAAUGGGGAAACCCAGUGCAAUUCGUUGCACUAUCGUUAACUGAAUACAUAGGUUAACGAGGCGAACCGGGGGAACUGAAACAUCUAAGUACCCCGAGGAAAAGAAAUCAACCGAGAUUCCCCCAGUAGCGGCGAGCGAACGGGGAGCAGCCCGGAGUCUGAAUCAGCUUGUGUGUUAGUGGAAGCGUCUGGAAAGUCGCAGGGUACAGGGUGAUACUCCCGUACACUAAAACACACAGGCUGUGAACUCGAAGAGUAGGGCGGGACACGUGGUAUCCUGUCUGAAUAUGGGGGGACCAUCCUCCAAGGCUAAAUACUCCUGACUGACCGAUAGUGAACCAGUACCGUGAGGGAAAGGCGAAAAGAACCCCGGCGAGGGGAGUGAAAAAGAACCUGAAACCGUGUACGUACAAGCAGUAGGAGCCCACUAGUUGGGUGACUGCGUACCUUUUGUAUAAUGGGUCAGCGACUUAUAUUCUGUAGCAAGGUUAACCGUAUAGGGGAGCCGCAGG
This 626-nucleotide ribosomal RNA is filed under the name Klebsiella oxytoca 10-5243. Its description in RNAcentral is "bacterial LSU rRNA". It matches the Rfam family "Bacterial large subunit ribosomal RNA", at positions 1 to 672 of the family's 2925-position model. Lineage: Bacteria; Pseudomonadati; Pseudomonadota; Gammaproteobacteria; Enterobacterales; Enterobacteriaceae. The record is from RNAcentral.